This 74-nucleotide transfer RNA is filed under the name Grosmannia clavigera kw1407. Its description in RNAcentral is "tRNA-Ile (AAT) (tRNA-Ile-AAT-1 1 to 7)". It matches the Rfam family "tRNA". Rfam says of the family: Transfer RNA (tRNA) molecules are approximately 80 nucleotides in length. Their secondary structure includes four short double-helical elements and three loops (D, anti-codon, and T loops). Further hydrogen bonds mediate the characteristic L-shaped molecular structure. tRNAs have two regions of fundamental functional importance: the anti-codon, which is responsible for specific mRNA codon recognition, and the 3' end, to which the tRNAs corresponding amino acid is attached (by aminoacyl-tRNA synthetases). tRNAs cope with the degeneracy of the genetic code in two manners: having more than one tRNA (with a specific anti-codon) for a particular amino acid; and 'wobble' base-pairing, i.e. permitting non-standard base-pairing at the 3rd anti-codon position. Lineage: Eukaryota; Fungi; Ascomycota; Sordariomycetes; Ophiostomatales; Ophiostomataceae. The record is from RNAcentral. RNAcentral also lists the same sequence under 3 other names.
GGUUCCGUGGUGCAGUUGGUUAGCGCAUCGUACUAAUAAUGCGAAAGUCGAGGGUUCGAGCCCCUCCGGGACCA